UACGAACCGUGCGAACGUUGUUCGGAAUCACUGGGCUUAAAGGGCGCGUAGGCGGGCUGCCAAGUCUGGGGUGAAAUCCCACGGCUCAACCGUGGAACUGCCUCGGAUACUGGCGGCCUCGAGGGAGGUAGGGGCGUGCGGAACUGUGGGUGGAGCGGUGAAAUGCGUUGAUAUCCACAGGAACUCCGGUGGCGAAGGCGGCACGCUGGACCUCUUCUGACGCUGAGGCGCGAAAGCCAGGGGAGCAAACGGG
This 253-nucleotide ribosomal RNA is filed under the name uncultured bacterium. RNAcentral's name for it is "partial 16S ribosomal RNA". It matches the Rfam family "Bacterial small subunit ribosomal RNA", at positions 524 to 776 of the family's 1533-position model. The record is from RNAcentral.